Molecule: long non-coding RNA, 305 nt
Organism: Mauremys reevesii (Reeves's turtle)
Lineage: Eukaryota; Metazoa; Chordata; Testudines; Geoemydidae
Exons: 3
Source: RefSeq, a predicted model, not a curated record
UGCAGUUUGAUCUGGGGUCAGGAACCAGGGGCCAGAGUCAGGAGUCUAGGCUGAGUCACAACCUGGGAGUUGGUGCCAGGAGGUAGGCCAAGGUGAGGAAGCAGAAGUCAGAAGCAGGAGACAAAGCCAAGUCAGAAACCAGGAAGGGCGUAUCAUGUGGGGGCACCACAGAAGAAGUGCUAAGGCAGCUAUUGGAGAAUCAGACAAGCAGUGCCUAGAAGAUCCUGUCAUGGACCAGGACCUCAUUGUGCUGCUAGAUGCUGAACAAACACCUAAAUACAAAUUAAUAAAAGAAUCCAUCGCAG